AGUGAACGCUGGCGGUAGGCCUAACACAUGCCAGUCGAACGGCAGCACAGUAAGAGCUUGCUCUGACGGGUGGCGAGUGGCGGACGGGUGAGGAAUACAUCGGAAUCUACUUUUUCGUGGGGGAUAACGUAGGGAAACUUAGGCUAAUACCGCAUACGACCUACGGUUGAAAGCAGAGGAUCUUCGGACCUUGCGCGAUUGAAUGAGCCGAUGUCGGUUUAGCUAGUUGUCGUGGUAAAGGCCCACCAAGGCGACGACCCGUAGCUGGUCUGAGAGGAUGGUCAGCCAGCCUGGAACUGAGACACGCUCCAGACUCCUACGGGAGGCAGCAGUGGAGAAUAUUGGACAAUGGGCGCAAGCCUGAUACAGCCAUACCGAGUGGGUGAAGAAGGACUUCGGGUUGUAAAGCCAUUAUGUUGGGCAAGAAGAGCAGCAGGAUCAUACCCCGCUGUUCUGACGGUACCCAACGAAUAAGCACCGGCUAACUUCGUG
RNAcentral lists this ribosomal RNA (492 nucleotides) under uncultured bacterium. Its description in RNAcentral is "partial 16S ribosomal RNA". It matches the Rfam family "Bacterial small subunit ribosomal RNA", at positions 29 to 507 of the family's 1533-position model. The record is from RNAcentral.